This 301-nucleotide ribosomal RNA is filed under the name uncultured bacterium. Its description in RNAcentral is "partial 16S ribosomal RNA". It matches the Rfam family "Bacterial small subunit ribosomal RNA", at positions 509 to 807 of the family's 1533-position model. The record is from RNAcentral.
CAGUAGCCGCGGUAAUACGGAGGGGGCUAGCGUUGUUCGGAAUUACUGGGCGUAAAGCGCACGUAGGCGGCUUGGUAAGUUAGAGGUGAAAGCCCGGAGCUCAACUCCGGAAUUGCCUUUAAGACUGCCGAGCUAGUAGGUGAGAGAGGUAAGUGGAGUUCCGAGUGUAGAGGUGAAAUUCGUAGAUAUUCGGAAGAACACCAGUGGCGAAGGCGGCUUACUGGCUCAUUCUAGACGCUGAGGUGCGAAAGCGUGGGGAGCAAACAGGAUUAGAUACCCGCGUAGUCCCUGUCUCUUAUAC